RNAcentral lists this ribosomal RNA (553 nucleotides) under Acanthamoeba sp. JPH8. Its description in RNAcentral is "SSU rRNA". It matches the Rfam family "Eukaryotic small subunit ribosomal RNA", at positions 692 to 1096 of the family's 1831-position model. Lineage: Eukaryota; Discosea; Longamoebia; Acanthamoebidae. The record is from RNAcentral.
CCUCCUUCUGGAUUCCCGUUCCUGCUAUUGAGUUAGUGGGGACGUCACAGGGGGCUCAUCGUCGUCAGCAAUGCCGGCGGUGGGUCCCUGGGGCCCAGAUCGUUUACCGUGAAAAAAUUAGAGUGUUCAAAGCAGGCAGAUCCAAUUUUCUGCCACCGAAUACAUUAGCAUGGGAUAAUGGAAUAGGACCCUGUCCUCCUAUUUUCAGUUGGUUUUGGCAGCGCGAGGACUAGGGUAAUGAUUAAUAGGGAUAGUUGGGGGCAUUAAUAUUUAAUUGUCAGAGGUGAAAUUCUUGGAUUUAUGAAAGAUUAACUUCUGCGAAAGCAUCUGCCAAGGAUGUUUUCAUUAAUCAAGAACGAAAGUUAGGGGAUCGAAGACGAUCAGAUACCGUCGUAGUCUUAACCAUAAACGAUGCCGACCAGCGAUUAGGAGACGUUGAAUACAAAACACCACCAUCGGCGCGGUCGUCCUUGGCGUCUCGGUUUCUGCCGGGGCGCGGGGAUGGCUUAGCCCGGUGGCACCGGUGAAUGACUCCCCUAGCAGCUUGUGAGAA